AAUACAUGCAAGUCGAGCGGACAGAAGGGAGCUUGCUCCCGGACGUUAGCGGCGGACGGGUGGGUAACACGUAGGUAACCUGCCCCUUAGACUGGGAUAACUCCGGGAAACCGGAGCUAAUACGGGAUAAUAAAGAGAAUCACCUGAUUCUCUUUUGAAAGACGGCGUCUAGCUGUCACUAAGGGAUGGGCCUGCGGCGCAUUAGCUAGUUGGUAAGGUAACGGCUUACCAAGGCGACGAUGCGUAGCCGACCUGAGAGGGUGAUCGGCCACACUGGGACUGAGACACGGCCCAGACUCCUACGGGAGGCAGCAGUAGGGAAUCUUCCGCAAUGGACGAAAGUCUGACGGAGCAACGCCGCGUGAGUGAGGAAGGCCUUCGGGUCGUAAAGCUCUGUUGUGAGGGAAGAACAAGUACCGGGGUAACUACCGGUACCUUGACGGUACCUCACCAGAAAGCCACGGCUAACUACGUGCCAGCAGCCGCGGUAAUACGUAGGUGGCAAGUGUUGUCCGGAAUUAUUGGGCGUAAAGCGCGCGCAGGCGGCUUCUUAAGUCUGAUGUGAAAUCUCGGGGCUCAACCCCGAGCGGCCAUUGGAAACUGGGAAGCUUGAGUGCAGAAGAGGAGAGUGGAAUUCCACGUGUAGCGGUGAAAUGCGUAGAUAUGUGGAGGAACACCAGUGGCGAAGGCGACUCUCUGGACUGUAACUGACGCUGAGGCGCGAAA
This 726-nucleotide ribosomal RNA is filed under the name uncultured Bacillaceae bacterium. RNAcentral's name for it is "bacterial SSU rRNA". It matches the Rfam family "Bacterial small subunit ribosomal RNA", at positions 50 to 758 of the family's 1533-position model. The record is from RNAcentral. Lineage: Bacteria; Bacillati; Bacillota; Bacilli; Caryophanales; Bacillaceae.